GUGCUCGAUUCGGCAGCACAUAUACUAAAAUUGGAAUGGUACAGAGAUUUGAAUGGCCCCUGCACAAGGAUGACAUGCAAAUUCAUGAAGCAUUCCAUAUUUUA
This is a small nuclear RNA of Cricetulus griseus (Chinese hamster), 104 nucleotides long. The record is from Ensembl. NCBI's taxonomy places the organism in Eukaryota, Metazoa, Chordata, Mammalia, Rodentia, Cricetidae.